RNAcentral lists this long non-coding RNA (406 nucleotides) under Anolis carolinensis (green anole). RNAcentral describes it as "lncRNA (ENSACAG00000030213.2)". Lineage: Eukaryota; Metazoa; Chordata; Lepidosauria; Squamata; Anolidae. The record is from RNAcentral.
UAUUCCCCUUUAAGCCUGGCUGAAGAAGCAAAACCAAACGGCGGCUCCAGGGCGAGGCAGGGCGAGGAGAAGGCCAAGCGCAGGCAGGCAUGUCUCUUCUCUCUUCUCUUCGCUCCCUCCCUGCUUUGCGGAAGGCUUCUACUGAGCCGGUGUGGUCCCCGCGGGGGGGGGGGCGGCGUCUCAAUGGCAUUUUUAAAAUGCUAGCAGAUCGAUGGCCAUGCCUCUCCCUCCCUCCCUCUUCCGCUCUGAUUGGCUGAGAGGCAUGCCAACAUGGCUUCUCCUCUCAGAGGGGCUACAGCUACAUCCGAAGACAUCAGAAACAAACGAAAAAAGCUACUCUACCAGUAACGACAUGCAGUGUGGAAAGAUCGUUUUCAACCAUGAAGAGAGUGAAAAGUGUAUCUAA